GGAAUAGGUAGAGGCGCACUCACGAAGAGUAUGUUCUGACAGGAUACCAGUCCGCAAGAAAUGCAGAGCAAAAAGGCGUGCGUGCCGAAGAGGCUGUACCGGUGACACAGCUUCUGGGCAUAUUUCCGAAGAGGGGUAUGACUGUCAUCGUUAUGAUGGAGUGCUAUCGGCGAU
This 174-nucleotide non-coding RNA is filed under the name Ruminococcus sp. RNAcentral describes it as "Lysine sequence". It matches the Rfam family "Lysine riboswitch aptamer". From Rfam's summary of the family: Riboswitches are metabolite binding domains within certain messenger RNAs that serve as precision sensors for their corresponding targets. Allosteric rearrangement of mRNA structure is mediated by ligand binding, and this results in modulation of gene expression. This family includes riboswitches that sense lysine in a number of genes involved in lysine metabolism, including lysC. RNAcentral also lists the same sequence under 1 other name. Lineage: Bacteria; Bacillati; Bacillota; Clostridia; Eubacteriales; Oscillospiraceae. The record is from RNAcentral.